AUCACUUCUCAGCCUUUUGGCUAAGAUCAAGUGCAGUAUUUGUUAUUAGUUUAAAGCACAUGACUGGAAAAAUCUCC
This is a non-coding RNA of Pan troglodytes (chimpanzee), 77 nucleotides long. The record is from Rfam. Lineage: Eukaryota; Metazoa; Chordata; Mammalia; Primates; Hominidae.